Labrus mixtus (cuckoo wrasse) is the source of this 1579-nucleotide long non-coding RNA. RefSeq lists it as uncharacterized. The record is from RefSeq and is a predicted model, not a curated record. The transcript is spliced from 2 exons. Lineage: Eukaryota; Metazoa; Chordata; Actinopteri; Labriformes; Labridae.
UGGCCCAGAAACUGCUCUCAAGCCCCAGCCCCUGUUCGAGUGGGGUUUCUUGCUUAGAACACUGCUCAGCCUUUCCCUCGUCCUGCAGGCCAAAGAGAGGGAUGUGGAAAUGCAUUCUUGUCUCAUUUGUAGCACGUUUUUUUUUUUUUUUUGUCUCUCCGUCGCCACCACGGCCUAACUCUCUGUGGCUGAACACUAGCGUGACCUAUUCGUAAAAGUCACCUCCAGUUCAACCAACCAGUUUCCACGUCUACCUGCAAAAGCAUCUGUCCCAAAGGCUGAGGUAGUAGAUUGAAUAGUUGUGGGGUUUGAUCCUCCCUCAGAGAUAACUUUUCAAUCUACUGUCUUUCCUAAGGAGACAGGAUGAUCUGCCGUGAUGAUGAAGAAUCAAUGUGUUUCAGAAGCUCCAUGGAUAAAAGAAGCCAUGGACUCAAAAAAGAUGAUUUAAGGAUCAAUUGAUCCUUCAAAUCUGAGGGGGAGGUUGUGGAUACAAAAAAAGACUUCAUGUACUGAACAGAAUAGUGUAACUGCUGCAUUAUUACAAUGUGUAAUAAAGCGCAUGUUUAAUUUUAUUUAUUUAAUAGGGACAAUGUAAUUUAACAUAGUUUCAAUACAUACAUGAAACUGAUGUGCUGCAUAAAGAGUAUCUAUUGCUAAUUUCCAACUCUUGUCCCUUAGUUGGGCCAAUGGGUAACGUCUAGUUUUUGAGGGUAGUCACUGGUGCCUGAAGUUGAGCCUUGCAAGGUGAGGUAGUAGGUUGUAUAGUUUGUGGGAUGGAGUAAAUCCUGCUCAGGUGAUAACUAUACAGUCUAUUACCUUUCUUGAGAGGUACAAUGAGUGCUUGGAAUGAGGCUCACUCACACAGAAGAAGCAACUCUGACGCCAUCUUGUGACCAAAGACAGUAAGAUGAAAGAUAUAUUUGCAUUUGGGCUUGUUUCUGGGGUGAUUAUGCAAAGCUUUCCAGGUGUGAAUCUCCAAAAAAAAAGGAUGGUUUUACUGAGACAUUGGGACAGUCAAGAGGAGCCAUGAGGCUCAUAGAUCCAAAGUCUGUUCAGCAAUAUUUUUUCAUUUUAAAUCUUACGAUACAAAGAUGACAGUUGCAUAUCUGAAUUUUUGCACACACUUAGUUUAUUUUUGUUUGUUGCUUUGUUUGAAGGUCUGGCUGUGUUUAUCCAUUCCCAUUCCUAGUACGUUGUAUCUGUAUGUACACAAUUCUAUGUAUGAUAAGACUCUGAUUUUGAGAAAUUGUUUUUUGUAAUUCCCUGUUUGAAAACCAAUAAAAAGUGUUGAAUGUUUAAAAGUGGUAUCAAUAAGGACUCGGAUCGUUAGGAAGUAUCGAUAAGGGUAUCACUAUAAUUAGAAAUGAACAAUCUCCAUUCUAAUCAAGGAUCCCAAAAGGGUCACCUGUCAAGGUAACUGUGAACUCAACGAGGAGGUUUUAAAAAUGUUUUAGUAACAGGGUCAACCCUGCCUUCGCCCCUGUCCAUCUUUCCAUUUAGCUAAACGUUAUCAGCAGCAAGUAUACUCCGAGAAAAGGUAUGAAAUGUAUCCCUUUGUAACCCCAGUGUGUAAAGAAAA